AUUGAACGCUGGCGGCAUGCCUUACACAUGCAAGUCGAACGGCAGCACGGGAGCAAUCCUGGUGGCGAGUGGCGAACGGGUGAGUAAAGUAUCGGAACGUGCCCAGUCGUGGGGGAUAACGUAGCGAAAGUUACGCUAAUACCGCAUACGAUCUAUGGAUGAAAGCGGGGGAUCGCAAGACCUCGCGCGAUUGGAGCGGCCGAUAUCAGAUUAGGUAGUUGGUGGGGUAAGGGCUCACCAAGCCGACGAUCUGUAGCUGGUCUGAGGGGACGACCAGCCACACUGGGACUGAGACACGGCCCAGACUCCUACGGGAGGCAGCAGUGGGGAAUUUUGGACAAUGGGCGAAAGCCUGAUCCAGCCAUGCCGCGUGCAGGAUGAAGGCCUUCGGGUUGUAAACUGCUUUUGUACGGAACGAAAAGGUUUGGCCUAAUAAGCUGAGCUCAUGACGGUACCGUAAGAAUAAGCACCGGCUAACUACGUGCCAGCAGCCGCAGUAA
Molecule: ribosomal RNA, 500 nt
Filed under: uncultured bacterium
Lineage: Bacteria
Description: partial 16S ribosomal RNA
Rfam family: Bacterial small subunit ribosomal RNA
Source: RNAcentral